This 90-nucleotide transfer RNA is filed under the name Pleomassaria siparia CBS 279.74. Its description in RNAcentral is "tRNA-Pro". Lineage: Eukaryota; Fungi; Ascomycota; Dothideomycetes; Pleosporales; Pleomassariaceae. The record is from RNAcentral.
GGUCCAUUGGUCUAGUGGUAUGAUUCUCGCUUAGGGCAAAACACUAAGCACAUUUGCGAGAGGCCCCGCGUUCGAAUCGCGGAUGGACCC